GGAGGGAGACCACGCCCACUCUGCGCCGACCGGCUGGGCCUGGCACCCGCGGGCGGCCCCAGCCUCAGUCUCCAGCUACCUUUGCCUCCUGCGGCCGCCCCCAGGCAGAGCUGCGAUCCCACCGCCGGGGGUGCAGGGAGAGGGAAGAUCUGGCCUCCUUGGUCCUUUUGCGUGGGCUCUUCAGAGCGUGAGCGCCGGGGAGGGACUCCGGAGAAAAGCUUGGGGGGCUGCGUAUUGCUGCUCCCCAAGCUGGGCGUCAGGACCAACCCCGCCGCCCCCACGGGCCUGACGGGAGAGGAGGAAGGGCUCGGGACGGUCGGCUCGCCGAGCCAACCAGGUGGCGCCUGAAGAGCUGUCCAUGGUGUCGACAGCCCAGCAAACGGCACCGAGUUCCUAGUCUGAGUGUCUGGAUAGGUAGCAGAAGAAAAACUAAUGCCUGCUCUGGGACAGUUCUGUUCGGUGCCUUUUCUUGUGUGUUCUGGAGCUCACAGGGUUCUAUCGAAGAGUGCUUAGGUGUAUACGAUGGAGAGUGGGACGUCACAAACCAGGAUCUCAAGGCUGAGUCCAACAAAACAUGGCCGUAGGGAGGCCACGACAGCUGUGGUUGUCACCGACGGAUGAAUAGCUUUUGCCAACCGUGGAAUUUAGUAACUAAAGGCACCUAACCCUUUUAUCUCAUCCUCAUUUUUCAACAAAUGGUGCUUCCUGGCUAAUAUCAGCGUGUCCCAUAGAUUUCUGCUUCCAUUGAAUAGACCUAAUAAGAAAGAGAAUGAAGUCAAAGCCAACAGGGCAGAAAGAAAUUGAAAACCUGAAGAACCCAGCACUCAAACUGUCUCCACUUGCGUUUGCUUUUUCUUUACCUCUUCUCCUUCUGGUUUUCAACAGCCAAAGCAGGAUUUAAAUUUGGUUAUGUUGCAAAAAUCAUUUCCCUCUUCAGGCCCUGUCAUGUGACUUGAUUUUUUCGUCCAUUUUAGAGAAGCUGUACCCACCCUGGUUUCAGGACACGGAACUAAAUUUAUUAGAAAAGAAGCCACUUCAAGUCAUGAAGGAGAAACACAAAGAUUCUUGGAUUUAGUUCUAAGAACUAGAGGGGAUUUCUAUGUCAGUACUGUCUCAGAAAAAACUGUUGAUAUCAAAUGUGUUGCUUGAGAAGUACCUUUUUUUUUUUGAGACGGAGUCUCGCUCUGUCCGCCCAGGCUAGAGUGCAGUGGCGCGAUCUCGGCUCACUGCAAGCUCCGCCUCCCGGGUUCACGCCGUUCUCCUGCCUCAGCCUCCCGAGUAGCUGGGAUUACAGGUGCCCACCACCACGCCCGGCUAAUUUUUGUAUUUUUAGUAGAGACAGGGUUUCACCGUGUUAGCCAGGAUGGUCUCGAUCUCCUGACCUCGUGAUCCACCCGCCUCGGCCUCCCAAAGUGCUGGGAUAACAGGCGUGAGCCAUCGCGCCCGGCCGAGAGGUACCUUUUAUGACAACUGAAAUCAUUCAGUUUCAAGAGGAGUUGGGUACUGAAACCAAACUUGCUUACUCCAAAGCCCAAAAUCCUUUCCACCAUGCCUGUGUGUCUGUAAGGCUACACUAGAAAUGCUUCCUUUCUUAUAGUGGGAAGCAUGGGUACUAAGCUCUUUUACGAACAAGUGUUCUGCAUAUUCCUGGUUCCUUUUUAUUUUGGACUGAGGAGAUUUAGGUCAAAAUUUCUGGGUUCUGGGUUGGAAUUCCAGCUUCUUUCUUCAAAUUAAACUGGGGGGUAGCAAGACUUAUUCCUAGAUUUGUUAGAAGGCCACAGCUUUUCCACAUCUCAUUUUAGUCAUGAAAAAGACACAUGCCCAGAGUUUGAAAAACAUAAAGGCAAUUUGACUAGUGGCUUGAUUGGUUCUAUCUUCUUUUUCUUGUCCCUCUUUCCUAUUUAUACUUCUACUUUUGUUACAGCAUUUGACAAUAGUUGGAAAAAUUUUCACUGACCUUGAAAUGUCUUUGGGAUAGGGUGACUUAAAAUAUAGGUUAAGUGGCAUACACAAACUUCUUAGUGAGAUCCUAAGGGCCUACAGAGACAGGCUGACACCAACUCAACCCUUGAAACUGUGCAAUGAAGAGCCUGUGGGAGGCUAAAAAACGCUACUUCAAAAAGAGAUCCUUGUCUGUGAAUGUUAAUUUAGGUUUACAGAUUUGAUUAAGGGUCUUGAGAUUAUUUUCAAUUAUCCAGGUGGGCCCUAGAGCCCUAGAUGCAAUCAUAAGUGUCCUUAUAACAGGGAGGCAGAGGAAAAUUAAACACGCACACAGGAGAGAGAGAGAGAGAAAAAAAAGUGAUGUGAAGACAGCAGCAGAGAUUGGAGCGAUGUGGCCAUAGCCAAGCUAUGUCAGCAGCCAUCAGAAGUUGGAAGAGGCAAGGAAGGAUUUGAGCCUAGAGCCUUUGGAAGGAGCAUGGCCCUGUUGGUUCUGGCCUCCAGAACUGCAAGAAAAUACAUUUUUGUUGUUUUAAACCACCCAGUUCAUGGUAAUUUGUAACACCAGCUACAAGAAAUUAACACAAGGCUGAUGUGACUUUCCAUCAGGAGAGAGACAGCCCCAGGUAGGUGUUUCAGAUAUCACAUCCAAUAGAACAAAUUAAAGACAAACACCCUAAAUUCUAGAUGUUGAUUUGUGAGCAAGUUAUUUCUCCUAUGGGCAACUCUAGUUGAAAUAUGCAAUUCAUUAUGUUGAAACAUGGAAUUGUUAUUUUCAUAGGUUAAAAAAAAAUCACAUAGUGGCAAUAUAGUAGUAGUGCUCGUUUUUUGUUUUUUGUUUUUUUGUCAAAAAUGCUAGACAACAUGGAAGAUCAGGGAAAUAUUAACAGUCUGAUUCAGUAACCUUUAACAGCUUCUUUUCAGGUUACACAGGCUAAGCUAACUUUUAUAUCAGGAUCAGGAUCUGCAGAGUUAUUAGUAUAGUGCUCUGCAGAUCCUGGUCCUAGUAUAGCAGGAUCUGCAGACCCUAGUUGUACCUGGCCAUGUUCCCCACCAAUGACUGAGAAAGAAAUGGCUCGAACAGAAAACAGUGGUCUUGAAAGGCAACGCAACAGUAGGUUACAAAUAGCAUUAGCUUUUUCUUUAAAGAAAUUCAUUGUAACCAGUGAAGGAUAAGAUUUUAAAUUAGAAAAAUGGAAAUCCUAUGAAUAAAAAACUAGUAAGCUUGAGAGCAGAAUCACUGUGGAAAAAAAACAGAUUGAAAAAUAACUUGCAGGUAUCAUAGACAGGAAAUUGCCACUAGAGAAAACAGGAAACUUGUGAUAGAUAAAAAUGAAGUAUUUUCAUUUGGAACAAGAGACCAACUGAAGAGAGAUCAAGUGAAGGGGGUUUAUUUUAAUGAAACACAAAGAUUCUUGUGGAAAUCAAAGUGCCGGAGCCAGAAACAGGGCUCAACCUUCAAGAUUAGAGCUGUAUUCAAGUUGUUCAAGUUGGCUCUCGGUCCCAAAGCAACAGCAAUGUCACUAAGGUUACAAGUAAAAGGUAAGCUUUCAUGAUCAAAAUGUUUUUGCAAAGUAGCUUAAAAUGGUUUCUGCAGUGUUUUGUCAAAACUUUUCUCAUACAUUUUCCUAAAGAUAUUUAGCAAGAGCCUAAGAAGUCAUGUGCUAGGGAUUUUCAUUGUACUGAAUGAUUGUAUCCUUUAAGCCGCUGCUGGAGUUAGGACUGACAGGAACGCAGUACAAAUUACUGGGGGCUAGAGUCCCAAAGCAGGCCAGGGACCAGUCUACAUUGCAUGUCGAUACCAAUCCCAUAUAACAAUAUUCAGCCUGUGUUUGGGCAGUCUGAGGCAGCUUUUAGCAGCUGUGAACCCAGUAUCCAUGGACAGUUUCAUUUCUGGAGGGCAGUCUUCAAAACGUUUAUGAAAGUACACCUCCCAUUCAGAUAUGUUUUUUUCUUCCUACAUGUAGUGCUAGUGUUUUUCUCAUUUUCAUUUACUUGAAACAACAGAUCAAAUGUUUUGUCAUAAUCAGUGAAUGGCAAGACUCCCUUUAUUACAUGGGUAUUACCAUGUUAGAGAUAAGAAGAGCUCUUGUAACCAUUAACAACCACUACAAUGUAGCAACUUACAGUUUCCUAUUUUAUAUUGCAGCUCUGUAACAUUUGACUACUUUUGUAAGAGUUUCAUGAUUUCAAGGAUGAUUAUUAGCAUUUUCAAUUUUUUGGCCAAUUCUGGGUGCUGGUAAUGUUACCACUGCAGGCAACUAUGGCUCUACUCAACUGAAGACCUCUUAUAGGCAAUGUGGACCAUACCUGCUUUCCUGAGAGAUCAGCAAAUUGGGUUUGGUCAUCAGGAAAUUCUGUCUCUCAGAUCUCAUACUAGCAAGGAGACCCCUGGUUGUACCUGUCAGAGCUGCCAGUUGGCCCUGCUGAAACUUUAGAACUGCACCAAUGUCUAAGACUUUCAUCCUCCUUCCUUCACACAGGUGAGACCUGCCUGCCUCAUUGUCUGACAGCUUUCCCAGCCUCCUCCAGGCUCCCCUCCGUUUUCUCUUAUACGCAUUCCCCCAAUAAACUUCCUGUACAUUUAAUACCAUCUCAGUGUCUGCUCCCAGGAGGACCCUAACUGACACACUGGGGCAUUUAGCCUCCAAUUCCUUUUCUCCCUUGGCUGAGAUCUGUUCCAGGAAGUAUCUCCAGGACACUCCAGCCUGUUGCACAGGCCAAAGAAAAGCCCUCAGGCAGAGGAGCAAAUACUUGCAAGAGGACACCAGUGGCAAGAACAGGGACAUGCCACCCUGUGAAGACGUGCCUUUCGUCAAGAUUGUAAGUUUCCUGAGGCCUUCCCACCCAUGCGGAACUGAAAAAAUCUUCCUGUGACUUCCUACAACUUUUGGGAUAAGGACCAAAGUAUUUCAAAUGACCUACAAGAUCCUCUAUCAUCUGGACUAUGGACUUACUUGCUCACUCCAGCUGUCCUAUGCUUUCUUCAGCGCCUCCAGUGUAGCCUGCUCUCUUUCACCUCAGGGCUAACUUCUAUUUUUUCUCCAGGUCGAAUGAUCUAAAUAUCACUUCCUCAGGGUGGAAGGAAAUCUUCUGGGACUAGCUAGUCAAGCUAUGAUAAGAGAAACAAGAACUGGAUUUAACCUUUGGUUGCAAACAACUAAAAACUGGACGGCUGGAGAUAUCAUGCUACCAGACUUCAAACUAUAAGGCCACAGUAACCAAAACAGCAUGGUACUGAUACAAAAACAGACACAUAGACCAAUGGAACAG
Long non-coding RNA from Homo sapiens (human), 5211 nucleotides. Ensembl annotates it as PAXBP1 antisense RNA 1. Its record names the gene PAXBP1-AS1. Lineage: Eukaryota; Metazoa; Chordata; Mammalia; Primates; Hominidae. The record is from Ensembl.